This 351-nucleotide ribosomal RNA is filed under the name Escherichia coli. Its description in RNAcentral is "partial 23S ribosomal RNA". It matches the Rfam family "Bacterial large subunit ribosomal RNA", at positions 582 to 934 of the family's 2925-position model. The record is from RNAcentral. Lineage: Bacteria; Pseudomonadati; Pseudomonadota; Gammaproteobacteria; Enterobacterales; Enterobacteriaceae.
CGCUUAGGCGUGUGACUGCGUACCUUUUGUAUAAUGGGUCAGCGACUUAUAUUCUGUAGCAAGGUUAACCGAAUAGGGGAGCCGAAGGGAAACCGAGUCUUAACUGGGCGUUAAGUUGCAGGGUAUAGACCCGAAACCCGGUGAUCUAGCCAUGGGCAGGUUGAAGGUUGGGUAACACUAACUGGAGGACCGAACCGACUAAUGUUGAAAAAUUAGCGGAUGACUUGUGGCUGGGGGUGAAAGGCCAAUCAAACCGGGAGAUAGCUGGUUCUCCCCGAAAGCUAUUUAGGUAGCGCCUCGUGAAUUCAUCUCCGGGGGUAGAGCACUGUUUCGGCAAGGGGGUCAUCCCGA